AGUCUAAGCCGCGCCCCUUCCCCUGCCAGCACCCGAGCAAGGCGACUGGCUAACUUGCCGACUUAGCUCCGGCCAAGAAAGGCAAAAGGCCAACGCGAUCCAUGUCGCGUUCGCAACCUACCAACCAGGUCACGACCGGUCGAAGGGUAUUCGGUUUACCACCGUUUAGCGUACGUCUCGACGCAUACGCCCAACAGAGAAUCAGGCAACAGAUGACCGACUUGUCAUCUACUAAACGCAC
Molecule: long non-coding RNA, 241 nt
Filed under: Elaeis guineensis (African oil palm)
Lineage: Eukaryota; Viridiplantae; Streptophyta; Magnoliopsida; Arecales; Arecaceae
Description: long non-coding RNA (EGUI_LNC078803)
Source: RNAcentral